RNAcentral lists this long non-coding RNA (1096 nucleotides) under Homo sapiens (human). RNAcentral's name for it is "HSALNT0292573". The record is from RNAcentral. Lineage: Eukaryota; Metazoa; Chordata; Mammalia; Primates; Hominidae.
AGAACAAUGCGGGAGUUGCAGAGAGAGGUGUCCUGUGUUUGUUCCCAGUCUUCCUUCACUCACCUGCACCUGCUCCUGCCCUGCUUCGGCCAACAUGUUCUAUGCAGGUAGGUAAAAAAGUUGGAAAUUUCAUUUCUCUCCCUGUGUCUCUAAGAUGACAUCUAUCAAACCUCUGAUUCUCUUUUGGUUCUUUACAGAAACCCCACUUGAAAUUUUCAGGUAGGAUGGGGAGAAGGGCAAACCUAUUGUUUCCUUCAAACCUAGUAAUAUCUAACUGAACCCUCUCUAUCGGCAGGGUGGUUUUGCUGAUGAGACAGCUGCAGUUUGGGGAGUGUGAUAUCAAGGAAAGCAGUGUCUUGAGUCUGUCACUUUCUCUCUCUGUCCCAUUGGGCAUUAUAGUAUACAUAGCCUUGGAAUCAGAAGACCAAGAACAUACAAGAGAACAUAGCCUUGGAAUCAGAAGACCAAGAAACAAUUUAACUCUGCCCCUCUAGAGCUCUGAGAACUUGGGCAAGCCUUUUACCCUCUUGAAUUUUUGCCACCUUCAAUGAGAAAGACUGAAACAAAAAACUCAGAAGAAAGAAAGAGACUGAGAUAGCAAAUAUGACAAACUGUUAAAAAUUCAUGAAUCUGUUAUGGAAUACUAUGCAGCCAUAAAAAAGGAUGAGUUCCUGUCCUUUGCAAGGACGUGUAUGAAGCUGGAAACCAUCAUUCUGAGCAAACUAAAACAGGAACAGAAAACCAAACACCACAUGUUCUCACUCAUAAGUGGGAGUUGAACAAUGAGAACACAUGGACACGGCGGGGUGGUGGGAACAUCACACACCGGGGCCUGUCAGAGGGGAGGGGGCUAGGGGAGAGAUAGCAUUAGGAGAAAUACCUAAUGUAGAUGAUGGGUUGAUGGGUGCAGCAAACCACCAUGGCAUGUGUAUACCUAUGUAACAAACCUGCAUGUUCUGCACAUGUAUCCCAGAACUUAAAGUAUAAUAAUAAAAAGAGAGAUUAAAAAAAUUGGUGAAUCUGGGCAAAAUGUACACAGGAUUUUUCUGUACUGUUCUUGCAACUUUUCUACAGAUUUGAAAUGUUACAAAAUAAA